RNAcentral lists this long non-coding RNA (3175 nucleotides) under Homo sapiens (human). RNAcentral's name for it is "HSALNT0395294". Lineage: Eukaryota; Metazoa; Chordata; Mammalia; Primates; Hominidae. The record is from RNAcentral.
CGGGGGUCACCGGGCCGGGCCGGCAGCCCUAGAGCUCGGCCUGGCGGGGACCCUGGGCCAGCCCCGCGCCUCCGUGGCCCGGGCGUCUCGUGCGUGUCCGCGAACUCGCGUGCGCGCGUCACCUCGGACCGCAGCAUGGCUCGGAGGGCGGCCCUACUCGCGCCGCCCUAGUGCUGCGAAGGGCCUCGGAGCCCAAACCCGGAACCGCCAUCUGGGACUGGGAAGACGACAUGGCCAGAAGCCGACUGGACAGCCGGCACCACCCCAUGAUUCAAGGAUGGCCAUAGCCCAGUGCAGGAGCAGAUUUGCUUCCAGUUUGCCCUUCCUCCUAGCUGAACUCCAGGCUCCAGCCCAGAGAAGCAAGAAAAGAGCAAACAGAAGUUAUUCACAUGUGCAUCAGGUGGAGUCUCGCUCUGUCACCCAGGCUGGAGUGCAAUGGCACGGUCUCAGCUCACUGCAACCUCUGCCUCCCAGAUUCAAGCAAUUCUGCCUCAACCUCCUGAGUAGCUGGGACUACAGGCACGUGUCACCACGCCCAGCUAUUUUUUUUUUUUUUUUUUUUUUUUUGAGACAGAGUCUCCCUCUGUCGCCCAGGCUGGAGUGCAAUGGCGCAAUCUCAGCUCACUGCAAGCUCCGCCUCCCCGGUUCCCGCCAUUCUCUUGCCUCAGCCUCCCGAGUAGCUGGCACUACAGGCGCCUGCCACCCAUGACCGGGUAAUUUUUUUUGUAUUUUUUAGUAGAGACGGGGUUUCACUGUGUUAGCCAGGAUGGUCUCGAUCUCCUGACCUCAUGAUCCGCCCGCCUCGGCCUCCCAAAGUGCUGGGAUUACAGGCGUGAGCCACCAUGCCCGGCCUUAAUAACUUUUUAAAGGAUGUCAAGUUAAUGGAAUGUAUUCUGCUUUAGAAAAUAAAACUCUUAGGUUUUCAAAACUUAGCAGCCCCAGCAUUACCAAGGGCCUGCCUACCGUUUACAGUAUGUGAAUCCUACUUCCUUUUCAUGGUUGUAAGACUGGGAUUUUCUGGGAGCCGACCUGCAGGAGUCCACAGGCCACCCGUUAGGACUGUGCACGCUCCUCCACAAACAUGCCUGUGGGGGGAUCCUUGGCUCUCUCUGCAGGGGUGCGUUGGGUGUGCACCAGCUGGGAAGGAAGGAUCUGUCGGAACUGCAAUCAAAGCCACGGCAGGCCUCCCAGGGUCUUACUGGUGGUGAAAACAACCAGCUUCCUCGUCCCUCCCUCAAGCAUGGCAACCACCGCCCUGAGACUCAAAGAUACCUGGAGGAGUGUGAUCGGGCUGACCUGUUGCUCUUAUCUGGAAUUCUUUGAGGGUGAUGGGAGAUCACUUCUUUUUUUUUUUUUUUUUUUUUUUUGAGACAGGAUCUUGUUUUGUCAACCAGGCUGGAGUGCAGGUUCAGGUGAUUCUUCCGCCUCAGCCUCCCCAAGUAGGCUGAGUAGCUGAGAAAACAGAUGCGCACCACCAUGCCUGGUUAAUUUUUGGAUGUUUUGCAGCCAUGUGGUUUCACCAUGUUGUCCAGUCUGGUCUUGAACUCCUGAGCUCAAGGGAUCCUCCCACCUCGGCCUCCCAAAGCAUUGAGAUUACAGGUAUGAGCCACUGUACCCGGCUACCCAGGAGAUUACUAUUUUUUGGCAUAAAACCAAACAAAACUAUUCAUUAGUUUAUCCACUCAACAUUGAUUUAUUAUUCCUGACUGCAGCCAACAACAUUGUGAAUACUUUCCCUGCCUCAAGCUCUGUUCUAGGUCCUAGAACAUUCAUGACAAUUUGUUUCUCUGCCCUCUGGCAGGUGAGAAAACUUUGUAAGAAGUUUCAAUAGCAAAAAGUAUGAGAAGAUGUACAAUAGAUCUGGGACUAUUUGUAACAAACCCGGUGGAAGAUGUAGGAGCAGAGGUGGAAGGCCUUAAAGAGGGUCCUGCGCAUGCCGGGCGGGCCUCCAACAGAGAAAACACACAACCUGGCCAGGCACAGUGGCUCACGCCUGUAAUCCCAGCACUUUGGGAGGCCAGUGCGGGUGGAUCACCUGAGGUCAGGAGUUCGAGAUCAGCCUGGCCAAUGUAGUGAAACCCCAGUCUCUACCAAAAAUACAAAAAUUAGCCGGGCUUGGCACAGGCUUGCAAUCCCAGCUGAGGCAGGAGAAUCGCUUGAACCUGGGAGGUGGAGGUUGCAGUGAGCCGAGAUGACACCACUGGACUCCAGCCUGGGCUAUAGAACAAGACUCCCUUUAAAAAGAAAAAAAAAUUCAUGAUCUGGAAGCCCGAGUGUAGCUAACUGGUGGACAGAUGAAAGUGAAAUGUGUGAUGUUUCCUAAGACCCCCUAAGACUUCCCUGAGCCACGGGAGGCUCUCACGAGUGUGUAAGCCAGGGUUUUGGGGAAGGGGUGGAUGUGUGUGUCUCGCAUUUUCCCAGCUGCCUCUCCUUUCCCCUUCUUCCUUGCUCCCGGAGACUUCCUUGUGGAUUCCUUCCCAGAACUUGGUCUGAAUUCCCUAAUAGACAUUCUCCUAGCGGGAUGAGUCCCCCUUUACAGCACUCGGGAAAUGCCUGCUCCUCUAGCUGUCUCUGAUCCACCUCUCCUGUCUUUCAACUAAGGCCCCCACAUGCCAGACCAUCGUUGGUGGACCUCGUCACCAGCAUGAAGUGGGCUCUUGGAGUUGUCGACUGACUAGUUCACAAUUAGUGACUCAUAGCAUCUCACUCAUUUCCUUUUCAUCAGUAGGAGGCAGCAGUCUGCACUUUUGCAUCACAUUUCAAAGACAUCUGUGUGUUUGUUCUCGUGCAGAACACUUUGACUAUUGUAACCUCUAGGUCCAUGAAUGACCCUCAUCUUCAGUAAAAGUGGAUUCACGCUGGCAAAGUCUGCUUUGUUUUAUUGUGACACAUGGAACAUUAUGGAUUUUGGUGAAUAAAAACUAACUUAAAUUGAAGUCAUUCUUGUAAAAUGAAAAUACAUUUUUCUGCUGUUCUUAACUUUAUAAUAUAGAUACAUACUAUGUCUUAUGAAAUAGUAAAUGGAAAACACGAUUCAAAAAGCGCUAUUUUGGUAAAUAACUUGCAUAAAGGGCAUAUGGACAACACAAGUCCACAACACAAUAGACAACAGACAACACAACCUGUUACACAGGCACUCAAGUUCGUCUGCAGAUUUGGUUUUCUUUUUUUUUUU